GCACCCCGCUCCGCCGUGUCCCUGCACCCCGCUCCACCGUGCCAUGACCCUGCGCCCCGAUCUGCCGUGUCCCUGCACCCUGCUCCGCCGUGCCCAUAUCCUCUCCCCCCUCCGCCGUGCCGUGUCCUUGCACCCCGAUCUGCCAUGUCCCUGCACCCCCUUCCGCUGUGCCGUGUCCUUGCACCCGGUUCUGCCGUGCCCUCUGCCCUGCUCUGCAGUGCCAAUGUCCCUGCACCCCGAUCUGCCGUGUCCCUGCGCCCCGCUCUGCUGUGCUAUGUCCUUGCACCCCGCUCCGCCGUGCCGUGUCCCUGCGCCCCGGUCUGCCGUGCCGUCUCCCCGCGCCCUGCUCCGCGGUGCCCAUGUCCCAGUGCCCUGUUCCGCCAUGCCAAGUGCCCUGCUCUGCAAUGCCCAUGUCCCUGUGUCCCGAUCUGCUGUGUCCUGUGCCCCCUUCUGCCAUGCCAUGUCCCUGCACCCCGAUCUGCCAUGUCCCUGAGCCCCGCUCCACCGUGCCAUGUCCCUGCACCCAGCUCCGUGGUGCCCAUGUCCCUGCGCCCUGAUCUGCCAUGUCCUGCAUCCUGCCCCGAGGUGCCCAUGUCCCUGCACCCCGCUCCACGGUGCCCAUAUCCCUACCCCUUGCUUCGUGGUGCCCAGGUCCUUGCAUCCUGCUCCACGGUACCCAGCUCCCUGUGCCCCACUUUGCAAUGCCCAGGUCCCUGCGCCCUGCUCCACGGUGCCCGCUUUGCCCUGCCUCACGGUGCCCGCAGCUCUGCGCCCUGCUCCGUGGUGCCCUGCGUCCCUAUGCCUUGGUCUGCGGUGCCCAAAGCCUUGCUCCGUGGUGCCUGCAGCCCUGCGCCCUGCUCUGCGGUGCCUGGGUCCCUGUGUCCUGCUCCGUGGUGCCUGCAGUGCCCUGCUCUGCAGCGCUGCAUCCGUGCCCCCUGCCCCGCAGUGCCUGCUUUUCCGCAUGGUGCUCGGUGGUGCUGGCAUCCCUGCGCCUGUGCUCCACAGCGCCCACAUCCCUGCACCUGCGCGCCGCAGUGCAUCCCAGCCUGUGCAGGGACAGGGUCCCCCGCUGACGAGCGAGACAUGCAGUAGGAGCCGGCGCUUCCCAUCGGAGAGCGACGCUCCUGGGUGCCGCGAGGCCCUGGGCACAGCCGGGAGAGCGGCUCGGGAGAGGCCAGGAGAUGCACCAAAUCAGCUGCCUCCUCGCAGGGCUUGUCUUCAUCCUCGGCGUGACCGGCACGGACGGUUUUGCCCGGGCAGGGUAAGCCUCCUCUUUGUCUGCGUCUCCGUGGUCUUGUCGUGGGCCUGCGCUGAGCCCGUCUGCAGGUCGCAGCGAGGCUUGUUCUUUCCCAGCAGCACCUGGAGCCGCGUUCGGCCCGCCGGCCGUUGCUGGGCUGGCGAUGAGGUGGGAAAGGCUCGGCAGGGUCCUCCCGGGGCGGCCGGCUCUCGGCAGGCUUUGAAGCGAGAAAGUCUUUCGGGCAAAAUGCCUUGGGGCAGCUUAGCUCCACGCAGGGGCCACAAAGAUGCUCUGAGCUUUUCCGAAUACCUCUUGUCCCUGUCGAGCGCAUCCCAGCAGAAGAGCGUGCGCCCAGGCUCGCGCCUUGCGGACGGACCCUCGGAGCGGGGUGCCGUCUCCCAGCCCCACGGAGCUGCCCGCUCCGGGGCACGCAGGCGNNNNNNNNNNNNNNNNNNNNNNNNNNNNNNNNNNNNNNNNNNNNNNNNNNNNNNNNNNNNNNNNNNNNNNNNNNNNNNNNNNNNNNNNNNNNNNNNNNNNNNNNNNNNNNNNNNNNNNNCGCCUGCCGUGUCCUGUGCUCCCGGGACUGGUGUGGGCGACGCAGCGCGUGGGCCCGCCAGCGAUCCCCCCGCCUUUGCUGCCAAGGGGUCUGACACAGCAUCCCGUCCGACUUAGCCCCUUCUCCGUUCUCUGCUGGGCCGAAGGAGGCCCCAGAGCUCAGUGCCCCAGUUUCUCCCCAGCCGAAAGGAGCUCUAGCUCGCCUCCUGCCCCUCCGAUUCAGCUCCUAUUUUCUACCCGGUUUAUUUUUUCAGCAAAACCCUCUCCUCUAGCAUUAAACCUAUUGCAUUCUGGUCGUGAGUAAGCCGACAGGCCGAACUCCUCUCUCAUACACAUGCUCUAUAGCUAUAACUUUAUUAUAGAAUUUGCAAAGCAAACAAUUGCCGUUUAUAAAUUGCAUCUUCCAUACGAUUAGUCAGUGAGGCUGAGGGGAGCUUUCUGGAGUUAAUGGAAGCCAUCUGAUGUCCAUGUUAAUUCCCAGCCUUUUUAUUCUAGUUUGUAAUAGGGCUGGGAAGCUGAGAUGAGUAGGCAAGGUCCUAAGUGGGACUGACCUGCUUGGGCUGAAAAACAUUGAAAAAAGUAUCUUGAAUGAAGACCACUUUGGCUGUUAACCCUGGGAAAUUUUUUUUGACUGGAUCUCAGUUAUCUUAGGGAAAAUAGAGCACAGCUUUGCUCUGGGCUCUGCCUUGUUGCUUUGAGCCUGACCCUUCCUGUGAACUCCCUGAUUUUUUGGGAGGGGGCCACAGGGGCAGCGGUUUCAGGGAUGCAAAAGUCUCAGAAGGGAAAAAUCCACCUAAAAAGUGAGGGAUUUUAGGGGAAGGAGGGAAAUGAGUGGAAGGAGAGCUGCUUAGAAUAAAUGCCACUAAAACCGGGCCCUGGUUGUUCUU
This 2679-nucleotide long non-coding RNA is filed under the name Struthio camelus australis. RNAcentral describes it as "lncRNA (ENSSCUG00000002344.1)". Lineage: Eukaryota; Metazoa; Chordata; Aves; Struthioniformes; Struthionidae. The record is from RNAcentral.